Molecule: long non-coding RNA, 1776 nt
Organism: Pan troglodytes (chimpanzee)
Lineage: Eukaryota; Metazoa; Chordata; Mammalia; Primates; Hominidae
Exons: 3
Source: RefSeq, a predicted model, not a curated record
GGGAUGGGGACUCAGGGCGGGGCACACGGAAGCAACUGCAAGGACUAAGGGAGUCCGCAGCCUGGGGCAUUGGAGCCCUUCGCCAUACCCCUGGUGCGUCCUCACCCCCUCAGCCCGUGCUUCCCAGGGCGGGUAUCCUCGGAAGGCCCGGCCCUCACAGCCUUGGCAGGCCAAGGUCAGAAUGAUUGGAGUUGGGGGAUGGGACGGGGGCAUCCCUCCAGGACCAGCUCUCCAGGAGGCCACAUUCUUUCUGCGGGAACCACUCCAAAGGGGCAUGCUGUUCCAGGCAGCCCCUCGCGCAGACACUCCGGCUUUGUCGAGCCCACAGCCACACGCCUGAAGUCCUGCAACUCAGGAGAGGCGGAGGGACCCCUUCCAGGCAAGUGGCCACUCAACACUGACCCUCCUCUCCCAUUUCAGAUGUGAUCUCACCAUCACCCAGGGUGGAGUGCAGUGGCGCAAUAGCUCACUGCAGCCUUGAACUCACGGGCUCAAGCAGUCUUCCUGCCUCAGCCUCCUGAGUCCUGGGACCACAGGCGCACGCCACCAUGCCCUGCUAAUAUUUUUAAGUUUUUGUAGAGAUGGCGUCUCAUCAGCCGUAAUCAAGCCCCCUCUCCAGGGCCAUGGCACACAGGCUGGUCCCGGGAGACAGGCUGGCUGCUUCACCUCCCCACUGCCAUUGCCACACAACUCACUCCUGGGACAGUGCACCUCCUCCACACCGAGACAUGGAGUCCCUGUCCCAAAGCCACACCUGGCUGCCAGGUGUCCCAAGCCACCUCUCUGGACUUGGAAGGAAAUGGGGACACUGUCUCAGGUUGGAACCUGUAAGGGGCUGACUUGUGUCCCCACUAAUUCACAGGUUGAAGCCUGAACCCUCAGGACCUCAGAAUGUGACUGUGUUUGGAGAUAGCAUCUUUAAGGAGGGAGUUGAGGUCACUGGGGUGGGCCCUAAUCCAGUCUGACUGGUGUCUUUAUACAAGGAGAUGAUUAGGACAGAGACGUGCAUAGAGAGAUGAUGCCGUGAGGACACGGGGAGGAGACAGCAUCUUCAGGCCUAGGAGAGAGGCUCAGGAGGAACCAGGCCUGCCCGCACCUUGGCCUCAGCCACCCAGCCUCCAGGACUAGCAGACUGGGAGCUAACAGCCCUUUCCUGUUGGCUGCCUCUUCCCCAAGCCCAGCGCCCCCUGCCCAUGCCUGUCAGAGCUCACAUCCCACCCUGCCUGCCAAGCCUACUGGCUCACCUGCAGCAUCUGGAGGGGCGCCUGUGUGCUCCGCUCCUCCAGCUGCAGCAGCAGCAGCUCCAGAGAGUGACCCUGCCAGUCCAGGCAGGCCACGCUCUCCCGGAGCCUGCUGGCGGUCUCCUCUUCUUCCGUCUCCAGAGCCUGGAGGAGCCUCUGCUCUUCUUCCACCAGGUAGAGGUUCAUCUUCUCAAACUCCAGCACAAUGCGUUCUCUCCGCUCCUUCACCUUGCCCUGCAGGAGUGGAGAAGCCCGGCAUGUUGCCAGCAGGUGGCUCAGCUCCAGGGAUGCUGGCACCUCUCCCCAGGGCCCUGGUGACCCACAAGAUCACCAGCAACUGGAGCUUUAGUUGGGGACCAGGAACUGUGACAGAGGCCCCCACCUCUGCUAUCCUGUGAUACACUGAGUGUAACCCUCUGAGCCCCGAACUGCAACUUCUACACAUCCAAACACCCAUGCACCCUUGCUCUGAGGAGGUUCAGAAUGUCCACCCCCAGAUAAGCCUCUUGGGCAUGUUAAACAAAAUUUAUGGGUG